CGCGGAGUAGAGUAGAUGGUCAACUCGACGGCCUCAUAAGCCGUAUAUGGGGGUUCGAAUCCCCCCUCCGCUAC
Molecule: transfer RNA, 74 nt
Filed under: subsurface metagenome
Description: tRNA-Met
Rfam family: tRNA
About the family: Transfer RNA (tRNA) molecules are approximately 80 nucleotides in length. Their secondary structure includes four short double-helical elements and three loops (D, anti-codon, and T loops). Further hydrogen bonds mediate the characteristic L-shaped molecular structure. tRNAs have two regions of fundamental functional importance: the anti-codon, which is responsible for specific mRNA codon recognition, and the 3' end, to which the tRNAs corresponding amino acid is attached (by aminoacyl-tRNA synthetases). tRNAs cope with the degeneracy of the genetic code in two manners: having more than one tRNA (with a specific anti-codon) for a particular amino acid; and 'wobble' base-pairing, i.e. permitting non-standard base-pairing at the 3rd anti-codon position.
Source: RNAcentral